AUAAUACUCCCUCCAUUGGGAAAUACUUGUCAUAGAAAUGGAUACAAACGGGUGUAUCUAGAACUAAAAUACAUCUAGAUACAUUCCUUUGUUGGACAAGUAUUUUCGGACAGAGGGAGUAGAUC
This is a non-coding RNA of Triticum aestivum (bread wheat), 125 nucleotides long. NCBI's taxonomy places the organism in Eukaryota, Viridiplantae, Streptophyta, Magnoliopsida, Poales, Poaceae. The record is from Rfam.